GCAGAACGCGAAGAACCUUACCUAGGUUUGACAUACAAGUGGUAGGAAGCCGAAAGGUGACUGACUCUUCGGAGAGCUUGUACAGGUGCUGCAUGGUUGUCGUCAGCUCGUGCCGUGAGGUGUUCGGUUAAGUCCGCAAACGAGCGCAACCCUUAUCGUUAGUUACAAGUGUCUAGCGAGACUGCCCGUGGCAAACGGGAGGAAGGUGGGGAUGACGUCAAAUCAGCAUGGCCUUUAUAUCUAGGGCUACACACACGCUACAAUGGCGCGUACAAUGGGCAGCGAAGCCGCGAGGUGGAGCCAAUCCCGAAAGCGCGUCUCAGUUCGGAUUGUAGGCUGCAACUCGCCUGCAUGAAGUCGGAGUUGCUAGUAACCGUGUAUCAGCACGGCACGGUGAAUACGUUCCCGGGUCUUGUACACACCG
Molecule: ribosomal RNA, 424 nt
Filed under: uncultured bacterium
Lineage: Bacteria
Description: bacterial SSU rRNA
Rfam family: Bacterial small subunit ribosomal RNA
Source: RNAcentral